RNAcentral lists this ribosomal RNA (757 nucleotides) under Diplommatina sykesi. RNAcentral describes it as "eukaryotic LSU rRNA". It matches the Rfam family "Eukaryotic large subunit ribosomal RNA", at positions 402 to 961 of the family's 3401-position model. The record is from RNAcentral. Lineage: Eukaryota; Metazoa; Mollusca; Gastropoda; Architaenioglossa; Diplommatinidae.
AAACCGCCUAGAGGUAAACGGGUGGAUCCGCAAAGUCGGCUUGCGAAAUUCAGCUCGGAGGGUUGGCGCGGGCGGCAGACCGAGAUCUUUAAUGGACUCGCCUGUCGUUCGACCGCUGGCUUGACGUGUGCACUUUUCGCAGGCAGAGCGCCACGACCGGUUCUCGGGCAGUCAGAAGGCGGUGGGGAAGGUAGGCGGGCGCCUCGCGCGUUUGCUGUUAUAGCCUCACCUGUCCCGAUCUGCUCCGGGGACCGAGGAGCCGCCGCUCGGCCGAGCUACCCUGCUCUCCUAGGGGGUCUCGACUGGCAGAGACUGGGCAACCGUGUCUGCCGACCGCCUCUUGGGACAGACUGGGGGUGACCAAUGUAGCUGGCCAAGCACAGGGUCGGUGGCGAAUCGGUCGGCACUCCACCCGACCCGUCUUGAAACACGGACCAAGGAGUCUAACAUGCGCGCGAGUCGUUGGGUUGUACGAAACCCGAAGGCGAAGUGAAAGCGAGGGCAACUUGUUUGCUCAGGUGGGAUACCUGCCGUCCCGUCGGCGGGUCGCACCACCGGCCCGUCUCGUUCGCGUUGUCGAAGAGGCGGAGCAAGAGCGUGCACGUUGGGACCCGAAAGAUGGUGAACUAUGCCUGAGUAGGAUGAAGCCAGAGGAAACUCUGGUGGAGGUCCGCAGCGAUUCUGACGUGCAAAUCGAUCGUCAAACUUGGGUAUAGGGGCGAAAGACUAAUCGAACCAUCUAGUAGCUGGUUCCCUC